UUUCUCGCCACAUCCUUCCCCUCAGGUGCUGCUCACCCCGUAGUAUACGCCCACCUCCUCGCAUCUUUCGUUCGUUUUCAACCAUGCCCGGAAGCCGACGCGCAGACAGACACCUUAUCGGUGUCUGCACGUCGUCGGAUCGCGGCUCCCCUCGGCAGGAUUUGUUCCCACGGCUGACUGACGCUGAGAUACGCGGGCAUAAGAAUUCUUAGGCCCUACCAGCACGGUGAAACUGGCCCACUUCCUGCCUGUCCGGCGGCGACGAACGCAACGCCAUGCAUGGACAACCGCCCCACUGCUCGUUUGGCAACACGGGACCACCGACUACAUUCGACGCAGCCGGCGGAGGAUUUCAAGACCAGCCAGCCAUCGUUCACUUCGGACCCGACAACACUUCAAGACCCUCACCAGAGCUCCAAGCGGACGCUGUGGAAGGUCGCCGGAACCCCGUCCCCGUAACUGGCGGCAGCCGUCAGAACCUAUAGCAGUAGAUGCUCGCGCAGUCCGCAGCCGGCUAUUCACACUGUAUACGUGAUUGACAUUUUGUGGUAUUUGCAGAACCUUCGCUAUGAAAAGCUAAUGCGCACAAACACAGUUCGGCGUUAGAAUGCAUGCACAUAACAAGCAAAGCUCGUGUGCUUAAGCUCAACACCUUCGCCGAAAGAGCGCGCAUUUAUGGGCUAACAAACGACUCGGCGUCGCUGCGCCCGACGUCAAAUCAGCAGCAUCACGUCACGUCUGUGCGAUUGUGACGCCUCGACAUCUCAUAGAUAACGCAAGAUCUACGCGCACCGAUUAUGACGUAACCGGGAAAGGUCGAAGCUGCCGCUGAACGUCGUGCUUUGCAAAAGCAAAACGAGCGUGCAGGGCGUGUUCCAGAUUGCUAUGUAUCCAUAUGCUCUCAGGCUUCCCCCAUGACGUCACGGUCACGGCGUAAAGACACCGCCACCUAGAUAGCACAAGGCCUUUUCACUCCUAUCCAUGACAUCCUGUUACCUCACCUGACUACCAUAGAAUCUAACGGGGAUGCUCCCGAGUAGGCAAAAGUGAUUUUGACGUCACCGCUUUCAUCACGCCAGCCUGUCAAUGAAAAUUUCGGGCCAGGUAGCGUGACGUCAUGCAUUGGAGUAAACCGCCCUGUGCUAUCUACGUGUCGUUGUUAAAGAGUGCAGGUUAUCUGUUAUCUAGGUGGCAUUGUGAGGAGAAAGGCAGUUGCGCGUUUUUGCAAGAGCCUGCGUUGCGUUAAAUAUGAGUGGAAGGUGAGCUCGCGGUUUCAGACACAACAGAAGGGAACGACGUUGCGCCACGCUGUUGUGGCGCAACACUGGCGGGCUAUUCGGGAGGUCAGGAGGCUGGGUGGCGUUGAGAAAGAAAAAUAGACUUAGGACAGCCGCUGGCUGGGGUCGUUCGUAAGGCUUUUCAGGUCCUGCGCG
Molecule: RNA transcript, 1433 nt
Organism: Dermacentor albipictus
Lineage: Eukaryota; Metazoa; Arthropoda; Arachnida; Ixodida; Ixodidae
Source: RefSeq, a predicted model, not a curated record